Molecule: small RNA, 598 nt
Filed under: Pan troglodytes (chimpanzee)
Lineage: Eukaryota; Metazoa; Chordata; Mammalia; Primates; Hominidae
Description: retained intron
Source: RNAcentral
CUGUCUUUUCCGCGCUACCUGCAGAGGGGUCCAUACGGCGUUGUUCUGGAUUCCCGUCGUAACUUAAAGGGAAACUUUCACAAUGUCCGGAGCCCUUGAUGUCCUGCAAAUGAAGGAGGAGGAUGUCCUUAAGUUCCUUGCAGCAGGAACCCACUUAGGUGGCACCAAUCUUGACUUCCAGAUGGAACAGUACAUCUAUAAAAGGAAAAGUGAUGGCAUCUAUAUCAUAAAUCUGAAGAGGACCUGGGAAAAGCUUCUGCUGGCAGCUCGUGCUAUUGUUGCCAUUGAAAACCCUGCUGAUGUCAGUGUUAUAUCCUCCAGGAAUACUGGCCAGGUUUGUGGAACAGUGGUUAUUUUUUAUAUUAUAAAAAUAAAGCUUACAGACAUUGUGAGACAUCUAGAAAGACAUAAGAAAACAGAAAUAACUCAGGCCGGGCGCAGUGGCUACGCCUGUAAUCCCAGCACUUUGGGAGGUGGAGUCCGGCAUAUUACGAGGUCAGGAGAUCCACACCACGGCGAAGCCCCGUCUCUACUAAAAAUACAAAAAAUCAGUUGGGCGUGGGGGCGGGUGCCUGUAGUCCCAGCUACUCGGGAGGCC